GAUGAACGCUGGCGGCGUGCCUAAUACAUGCAAGUCGAGCGAACGGACGAGAAGCUUGCUUCUCUGAUGUUAGCGGCGGACGGGGGAGUAACACGUGGAGAACCUACCUAUAAGACUGGGAUAAAUUCGGGAAACCGUAGCUAAUACCGGAUAAUAUUUUGAACCGCAUGGUUCAAAAGUGAAAGACGGUCUUGCUGUCACUUAUAGAUGGAUCCGCGCUGCAUUAGCUAGUUGGUAAGGUAACGGCUUACCAAGGCAACGAUGCCUAGCCGACCUGAGAGGGUGAUCGGCCACACUGGAACUGAGACACGGUCCAGACUCCUACGGGAGGCAGCAGUAGGGAAUCUUCCGCAAUGGGCGCAAGCCUGACGGAGCCACGCCGCGUGAGUGAUGAAGGUCUUCGGAUCGUAAAACUCUGUUAUUAGGGAAGAACAUAUGUGUAAGUAACUGUGCACAUCUUGACGGUACCUACUCAGAAAGCCCCGGCUAACUCCGUG
Molecule: ribosomal RNA, 497 nt
Filed under: uncultured bacterium
Lineage: Bacteria
Description: partial 16S ribosomal RNA
Rfam family: Bacterial small subunit ribosomal RNA
Source: RNAcentral